CUCACAUCCACCAAGGUCCCCUAUGGCUUUUGCUACAGAAGAUCUGUGUAGUCUUCACCAACAUGAAGCCCAGCUGCCAGAGCUGUCCUGAGCCAAUAAAUACAUGUCUUCCAGCCUUCUAUGACACCCACAUGCGCAGCUGCAUAAAGCAAGACAUCAACAUAGAGUCAGCAAACAGCAACCUCUCCCUUUCCCCAAGGACUCUAAAAUUCAUCAAAUUUCAAGCCUCUAUUAAGCACCAGCUUUGGGCUAAACUUUGCUGUUAGGGAUACAUAGAUAAUUAAUUUCCCCCUCCCCCAACCCAGUCUUAGUAACUGGUAAGAUAACCAGUCUUCUUCUCAGUAACUUGCUUGGUGGGUGGGGAAGAGGAACCAAUUAGGAAGAAGAAAACUCCAACUCGAGCAUUCAAGUCAGCGAGGAGAUCUUUCUUCACAAUCAUGCCAAAACUGAGUUUCUGAGGAAGGUCAGUCCAAGAAGUAUUGCUGACCUCAGCUCUUCUGAAGAUUCCCAGAACCAUGCAGCUGCUUAGCCUGUCUGGGCUUCAAUACUAUCUCGAGUCUCAGUCACUUUGGAACUACUUCAAUAGAGGAAAAACCCCACCUAUACUUGUGGUCAGAGAAAUUAGGAAAAACCAAUUUCAAUAUUC
Molecule: long non-coding RNA, 646 nt
Filed under: Homo sapiens (human)
Lineage: Eukaryota; Metazoa; Chordata; Mammalia; Primates; Hominidae
Description: HSALNT0283950
Source: RNAcentral